GGGGGCUAAAAUGCAGUCGAGCGCAGGAAAUCUGCUUAACCCUUCGGGGGGAGGUUGAUGGAAUGAGCGGCGGACGGUUGAGUAACACGUAAAGAACCUGCCCUCCGGUCUGGGAUAACUCGACAAAUCGGGGCUAAUACCGGAUGGGUCAUCGGACCGCAUGGUCCUAGGAGGAAAGGCGCUUCGGCGUCGCCUGGGGAUGGCUUUGCGGUGCAUUAGCUAGUUGGUGGGGUAAUGGCCCACCAAGGCGACGAUGCAUAGCCGACCUGAGAGGGUGAUCGGCCACACUGGGACUGAGACACGGCCCAGACUCCUACGGGAGGCAGCAGUAGGGAAUCUUCCACAAUGGACGAAAGUCUGAUGGAGCAACGCCGCGUGAACGAUGAAGGCCUUCGGGUCGUAAAGUUCUGUUGUAAGGGAAGAACAAGUGCCGCAGGCAAUGGCGGCACCUUGACGGUACCUUGCGAGAAAGCCACGGCUAACUACGUGCCAGCAGCCGCGGUAAUACGUAGGUGGCAAGCGUUGUCCGGAAUUAUUGGGCGUAAAGCGCGCGCAGGCGGCCUCUUAAGUCUGAUGUGAAAGCCCCCGGCUCAACCGGGGAGGGCCAUUGGAAACUGGGAGGCUUGAGUAUAGGAGAGAAGAGUGGAAUUCCACGUGUAGCGGUGAAAUGCGUAGAGAUGUGGAGGAACACCAGUGGCGAAGGCGACUCUUUGGCCUAUAACUGACGCUGAGGCGCGAAACGUGGGGAGCAAACANGAUUAGAUACCCUGGUAAUCCACGCCGUAAACGAUGAGUGCUAGGUGUUGGAGGGUUUCCGCCUUUACUGCUGAAACUAAUCAUUAACAGUCCCCCGGGGAUAGGUCACAGGUUAAACU
This 875-nucleotide ribosomal RNA is filed under the name Exiguobacterium mexicanum. Its description in RNAcentral is "bacterial SSU rRNA". It matches the Rfam family "Bacterial small subunit ribosomal RNA", at positions 42 to 901 of the family's 1533-position model. Lineage: Bacteria; Bacillati; Bacillota; Bacilli; Caryophanales. The record is from RNAcentral.